This 253-nucleotide ribosomal RNA is filed under the name uncultured bacterium. RNAcentral's name for it is "partial 16S ribosomal RNA". It matches the Rfam family "Bacterial small subunit ribosomal RNA", at positions 524 to 776 of the family's 1533-position model. The record is from RNAcentral.
UACGUAGGUGGCGAGCGUUGUCCGGAUUUACUGGGCGUAAAGAGCGCGCAGGCGGUCGAUUUAGUCGCGUGUGAAAGCCCCCGGCUCAACUGGGGAGGGUCACGCGAUACUGAUCGACUCGAAGGCAGGAGAGGGUAGUGGAAUUCCCGGUGUAGUGGUGAAAUGCGUAGAUAUCGGGAGGAACACCAGUGGCGAAGGCGACUACCUGGCCUGUUCUUGACGCUGAGGCGCGAAAGCUAGGGGAGCAAACGGG